RNAcentral lists this ribosomal RNA (521 nucleotides) under uncultured bacterium. Its description in RNAcentral is "bacterial SSU rRNA". It matches the Rfam family "Bacterial small subunit ribosomal RNA", at positions 20 to 518 of the family's 1533-position model. The record is from RNAcentral.
UGGCUCAGGACGAACGCUGGCGGCGUGCCUAACACAUGCAGGUCGAACGGGGAUUUGUUUCGGCAGAAUCCUAGUGGCGAACGGGUGAGUAACGCGUAGGCAACCUGCCCCCCGGAUUGGGACAACACCCCGAAAGGGGUGCUAAUACCGGAUACGAAGAUAGCACCGCAUGGUGAUAUUUUGAAAGAUGGCCUCUAUUUAUAAGCUAUCGCCGGGGGAUGGGCCUGCGUCCGAUUAGCUGGUUGGUGGGGUAACGGCCUACCAAGGCGACGAUCGGUAGCCGGUCUGAGAGGAUGAACGGCCACAUUGGGACUGAGACACGGCCCAGACUCCUACGGGAGGCAGCAGUGGGGAAUCUUCCGCAAUGGGCGAAAGCCUGACGGAGCAACGCCGCGUGGGUGAGGAAAGUUCUUCGGAACGUAAAGCCCUGUUGUACAUGACGAACGUGUAUCCUAUCAACAACGGGAUGCAAUGACGGUAGUGUACGAGGAAGCCACGGCUAACUACGUGCCAGCAGCAGC